This 407-nucleotide ribosomal RNA is filed under the name uncultured bacterium. RNAcentral describes it as "partial 16S ribosomal RNA". It matches the Rfam family "Bacterial small subunit ribosomal RNA", at positions 28 to 526 of the family's 1533-position model. The record is from RNAcentral.
GAUGAACGCUGGCGGCGCGCCUAACACAUGCAAGUCGAACGAGUGGCGAACGGGUGAGUAACACGUGACCAACCCGCCCCCCCCACCGGGACACCCUCGGGAAACCGAGGCUAAUACCGGAAAGGGGGGGACGGGGUCGCGGCCCAUCAGGUAGACGGCGGGGCGAAGGCCCGGCGUGCCGGAGCCGGGGAGCCCGGCGGAGAGGCCGAUCGGCCACAUUGUGACUGAGACACGGCCCAGAAUCCUACGAGAGGCAGCAGUGGGGAAUAUUGCGCAAUGGGGUAAACCCGGACACAGCUACGCCGCGUGAGGGAAGGAGGCCUUCGGGUCGUAAACCGCUUUCAGCAGGGAAGCGGUACCUGCAGAAGAAGCCCCGGCUAACUACGUGCCAGCAGCCGCGGUAAUUC